RNAcentral lists this long non-coding RNA (407 nucleotides) under Androctonus crassicauda. Lineage: Eukaryota; Metazoa; Arthropoda; Arachnida; Scorpiones; Buthidae. The record is from RNAcentral.
UUUUAGUUUCCACUAUGCAUGUUCGAACUGACGGACUUUAUAACCGAUCAACUUCCGGUAAGCUCAGCCCCGCCAAAGCAGAUGACAAAUGUUUUGAAACGAACUGUACAUAAACUGGGGAUUGCUUAUACUAACAAAUCCAGAUAUUUCCUUCAAUUUAUAAGUAGUUGCUUGGCUAAUGAUUUAAGAACAGUGUUGCCAAGUGGACCAGAUCUGCAUUUCUACCCCUCUUUUGGGGAAGAAAUGCAGAAAGAACUCUGUGCUCUCAGUCAAGGUUAUACUCUGAAGUAUUGACUUCUCUUUGGCUUGCCAUUGUCAAGGAGGCCUACACAAACUCCAAGAUAGUGGUCAAUGAAGUUGAUUUUCUACAAGGGAAGAUCCUGGGCAGAAUAGAUGGAACUCCUUGG